RNAcentral lists this ribosomal RNA (204 nucleotides) under uncultured bacterium. Its description in RNAcentral is "partial 16S ribosomal RNA". It matches the Rfam family "Bacterial small subunit ribosomal RNA", at positions 328 to 538 of the family's 1533-position model. The record is from RNAcentral.
ACGCUCGACACCUACGGGAGCAGCAGUGAGGGAUAUUGGUCAAUGGGGGAAACCCUGAACCAGCAACGCCGCGUGAGGGAUGACGGUCUUCGGAUUGUAAACCUCUGUCCUCUGUGAAGAUAAUGACGGUAGCAGAGGAGGAAGCUCCGGCUAACUACGUGCCAGCACGCCGACGGUAAUCUGAGGCCGGGCGUGGACGAAGGC